UACGUAGGGGGCAAGCGUUGUCCGGAAUCAUUGGGCGUAAAGCGCGUGUAGGCGGCCCGGUAAGUCCGCUGUGAAAGUCGGGGGCUCAACCCUCGAAUGCCGGUGGAUACUGUCGGGCUAGAGUGCGGGAGAGGCGAGUGGAAUUCCUGGUGUAGCGGUGAAAUGCGCAGAUAUCAGGAGGAACACCAAUUGCGAAGGCAGCUCGCUGGAACGUAGCUGACGCUGAGACGCGAAAGCGUGGGGAGCAAACAGG
Molecule: ribosomal RNA, 253 nt
Filed under: uncultured bacterium
Lineage: Bacteria
Description: partial 16S ribosomal RNA
Rfam family: Bacterial small subunit ribosomal RNA
Source: RNAcentral